Molecule: long non-coding RNA, 388 nt
Organism: Gasterosteus aculeatus aculeatus (three-spined stickleback)
Lineage: Eukaryota; Metazoa; Chordata; Actinopteri; Perciformes; Gasterosteidae
Source: Ensembl
GAUAAUAACCAAAGACCUGCAAAGAUGUUUUGCUGUCCUUGGUCCUUGUUUCCUGCUGAUGUCGUGGUUAGACUUUGGAUUUUUUAACACAUUCACAUCUUAUACUGCUGUUGGUGUUUGUCUGUGAAGCAGCUGAUGGUGUGUUUAAACACAUGUGGUUUCAUCGAUUUCAAACAGACAAAAAGUAAAGAUGACGUGGACGUUGGAGACAAGCCUACAGAAGAGUGAACAAGAGGAACAAACAACACCUCGACUACCCCCUCCGCUCUCAGGAAGCGCCUCUGCUGGCGUUUUAUGAAGAUACAAGAAAAGCCUGAAACACAAAUACAACACAAAGAAUCCAGAGAGACGUCGGCAGAUCCGAUCCCCCUCUGCGUUUGUGCGUGUG